AAUUAGCCCUGGGUGCAGCGGUACCCUGCAGGCUGAGGUACGAAGCCGAAGCGUACAAGCGGAACACGGGAAUUACG
This 77-nucleotide non-coding RNA is filed under the name Pedobacter suwonensis. The record is from RNAcentral. Lineage: Bacteria; Pseudomonadati; Bacteroidota; Sphingobacteriia; Sphingobacteriales; Sphingobacteriaceae.